AUGUGUCAAUUGAAGCUUGUGCACAACAUGAGGGCUCAAAACGACAAGUGGUUCGCAGAAUACCUACUACGUAUUGGAAACGAAACCGAGGAGACAAAUUAUGAUAGUGAAAUACUUCUACCUACAAGUAUAUGCGUGCCAAAUAAGACGGAUGAUAAUGGCCUAGAUAGACUCAUCGACAGUAUCUACAAAACGGACAAUUCUUCCCUAAAAGAUCCAAAGUACAUCACGUCAAGAGCAAUUUUAUCCACAAGGAACGACUCUGUAGACAGAGUAAACCUAAAAAUGAUUGAU
This 294-nucleotide ribosomal RNA is filed under the name Triticum aestivum (bread wheat). Its description in RNAcentral is "partial small subunit ribosomal RNA". The record is from RNAcentral. Lineage: Eukaryota; Viridiplantae; Streptophyta; Magnoliopsida; Poales; Poaceae.